GAUGAACGCUAGCGGCAGGCCUAAUACAUGCAAGUCGAACGAGAUUGAGGAGCUUGCUCCUCAUGAAAGUGGCGCACGGGUGCGUAACGCGUAUGCAAUCUACCUUAAUCAGGGGGAUAGCCCGGAGAAAUCCGGAUUAAUACCGCAUAACGUUAUUUUAUGGCAUCAUAGAAUAACCAAACAUUUAUGGGAUUAAGAUGAGCAUGCGUGACAUUAGUUAGUUGGUGAGGUAACGGCUCACCAAGACUACGAUGUCUAGGGGAUCUGAGAGGAUGACCCCCCACACUGGUACUGAGACACGGACCAGACUCCUACGGGAGGCAGCAGUAAGGAAUAUUGGUCAAUGGGCGCAAGCCUGAACCAGCCAUGCCGCGUGCAGGAAGACGGCCCUAUGGGUUGUAAACUGCUUUUAUUCGGGAAUAAACCUCUUUACGUGUAAGGAGCUGAAUGUACCGAAGGAAUAAGGAUCGGCUAACUCCGUGCCAGCA
This 488-nucleotide ribosomal RNA is filed under the name uncultured bacterium. RNAcentral's name for it is "bacterial SSU rRNA". It matches the Rfam family "Bacterial small subunit ribosomal RNA", at positions 28 to 513 of the family's 1533-position model. The record is from RNAcentral.